GGCGGGGCAGUGAGCAUUCACUUUCGUUUGUUGCGUUCUAUAAAGCGCUAGUGAUUUAGGCUACAAGAACAGUUUUGCCCCCUGACUACAGUCUGUGUGCGCUGGUUUUACUAAGACUUCGCCGGAAUCUUUCUGCAAGAUGUCGCAUCCUCAAGGUGCCCAGGCAUCUCCGUCUGACGGAGCGAUUGUCAGCGCCAAAGUGGGCGGCGUUUCGAUGUCCGCUGGCCCGGCGAAGGUACAGGUGGACCUGGGGAACAACACCGGAGUGAGCGCCGGUCCCGAUGGCGUGGAUCUGCAGCUGCUAGGCACCGACAUAAAAGUCAAUCCAAAUCAAAUACUAUCCCUCUUUGGAUUUAAGUGACUGUCUCUAAGAACAUGACAUCAUGUUGGUUGCAGUCAUUCAUGAUAUUAAAUUUAAUUUGAUUAAGCUUUACAGUAACAGUGAACAUUCAUAAACAUUUCUGCACAAUGAAAGAAUAGAAACCAAAGUAAUAUUUUUGUAACCUCCAUUUAACCUCCUGCUUGUUACCGAAGUUCAUUUCAAAUGAAUAAAAAAAGAAAAUACAAACACAGUCCAGCUUUUGUAUUGUGUGAAUACGUUGCUUCUUUCUGAACCAUGUUUGCUGUUGGAGGUCUGGGCCCCAUUAUCUGACUGACUGUAAAGUACUUAGAGACAUAAGCCAUUACAUUACAUUUAUUUGGCUAAAAGCGACGUAGAAUACGUGCACACCGAAUGUCAUUUGAACAAAACACAUCUGAUAUGGUAUAUUACUGAUUACGUAACAGUUAUUCAUUCAUAGCCAUGAACGUGUUAAGCCAUAUAUAGAUAACGAUAACAAUAAAAUUAAACAUGAAAGUAAACUCUGCAUGACUACCUGAAUGUAUGUAAUUACUAAUGUAUUAAAAUGUAUACAAAUACUUUUCAAUAAAAGCUGAGAAUCCGCACUUUAA
This is a long non-coding RNA of Anguilla anguilla (European eel), 951 nucleotides long. RefSeq lists it as uncharacterized. The transcript has 2 exons. NCBI's taxonomy places the organism in Eukaryota, Metazoa, Chordata, Actinopteri, Anguilliformes, Anguillidae. The record is from RefSeq and is a predicted model, not a curated record.